CCUACGGGAGGCAGCAGUGGGGAAUAUUGGACAAUGGGCGAAAGCCUGAUCCAGCAAUGCCGCGUGAGUGAUGAAGGCCUUAGGGUUGUAAAGCUCUUUUACCAGGGAUGAUAAUGACAGUACCUGGAGAAUAAGCUCCGGCUAACUCCGUGCCAGCAGCCGCGGUAA
Molecule: ribosomal RNA, 168 nt
Filed under: uncultured bacterium
Lineage: Bacteria
Description: partial 16S ribosomal RNA
Rfam family: Bacterial small subunit ribosomal RNA
Source: RNAcentral